RNAcentral lists this ribosomal RNA (483 nucleotides) under uncultured bacterium. RNAcentral describes it as "partial 16S ribosomal RNA". It matches the Rfam family "Bacterial small subunit ribosomal RNA", at positions 30 to 506 of the family's 1533-position model. The record is from RNAcentral.
AUUGAACGCUGGCGGCAGGCCUAACACAUGCAAGUCGAGCGGAUGAAGGGAGCUUGCUCCUGGAUUCAGCGGCGGACGGGUGAGUAAUGCCUAGGAAUCUGCCUGGUAGUGGGGGAUAACGUCCGGAAACGGGCGCUAAUACCGCAUACGUCCUGAGGGAGAAAGUGGGGGAUCUUCGGACCUCACGCUAUCAGAUGAGCCUAGGUCGGAUUAGCUAGUUGGUGGGGUAAAGGCCUACCAAGGCGACGAUCCGUAACUGGUCUGAGAGGAUGAUCAGUCACACUGGAACUGAGACACGGUCCAGAAUCCUACGGGAGGCAGCAGUGGGGAAUAUUGGACAAUGGGCGAAAGCCUGAUCCAGCCAUGCCGCGUGUGUGAAGAAGGUCUUCGGAUUGUAAAGCACUUUAAGUUGGGAGGAAGGGCAGUAAGUUAAGACCUGGCUGUUUUGACGUUACCAACAGAAUAAGCACCGGCUAACUUCGU